Musca domestica (house fly) is the source of this 321-nucleotide long non-coding RNA. RefSeq lists it as uncharacterized. The record is from RefSeq and is a predicted model, not a curated record. Lineage: Eukaryota; Metazoa; Arthropoda; Insecta; Diptera; Muscidae. The transcript is spliced from 2 exons.
UCAUUUUUAACUAUUAUUAUUUUUUUAAUUUUAAGACUUUCUGUUUGAAAACAAUUUUUUUUAAGUCAGCAGUACUUUUGAAUGUUUUUUACACUGCCGAGUGACAAUAUUUCAAAUUUUAUUAGGAUGAACUAAACAAUCAAGAAAUAUUGGUUUUUUUUUUAAAUUUUCUGAGACAUCUUGAAUGAAGGCAUAUUUUGAAAGUCAGCAGUACUUUUGAAUGUUUUGGAUACUACCGAGUGACAAUAUUUCAAAUUUUAUUGAGAUGAACUAAAAAAUAAAGAAAUAUUCGUUUUUUUUUUUUUUUGAAAUUUUCUGAGA